AUUUAAAAGUGAAAUCUGUGCCCCUACAUUAAUUAUAUUUAUAUUUUGUGACUUGGAAAGUGAAAAUACUCUUGAGGAUUCAAUUUGGCCAUCUGAAAGAGUAUUCUUCAAUUUUAUUUGUUUAAUAUUUUACUUGUGUGAAAAAGAGGAAACAAAUGCUGACAAUAGCCUUUCCCAGGUAGGUGCUGCCACUGGAACAUUGGCACGAUAGCUUUGAAAUUAACAUUUCAACCAUGUCUUAGUCAAUUAAAUUCCUUCAAAAUACAAUUUCCAGAAAACUGAUGUUACAACUUUAAAAUAGUCUUAAAGCACUAUGAUUUACCAAAUGUGGAAGACUUAUGCCAAAAAAGGAGAGACUCCAUUUACAAGUUUCAGACAACUAGGUUUAGAAUACACAGAAUACUAACUGUGGACAUUACAAAGACAUCACUAUGAUGUGUGCUUUGGGCUGAAGCCCAUUAAUCAGCAGAAAUGCUGAGUCCUUUCCUUAGCACUGUGUAACUUACAAUUAUCAUGCUUGCAAAACUGCAAUUGAGGAUGGGGGUGGGCAGAUAUAAGAAGAAAAUGUUUCUUUUACUGGUGAAGCUAACCAGUGCAGAGCACUCACUUGGCUUGAAACUACCGCACCCUAACUGGCUGCUCCCAACAUCCCCCUUUCUCAUGAGGGGUUCCUCCCAGUCAGCCAGACCCAGAAUCUCAAAAGUCAUCUUUGACCUUGGCCUCUCCAUCACGUGAUAGCCACAUCAAGUCAAUACCCAGACUGAUUAUCUCUUCACAGUCACAGUCAGUCUCUCUCUUUUUAUUUAUUUUAUUUUAGACAGGUUCUGGCUCUGUCACACAGGCUGGAGUGCAGUGGCACAAUCUCAGCUCACUACAACCUCCACCCCCAAGGCUCAAGCCAUCCUCCCACCUCAG
This 915-nucleotide long non-coding RNA is filed under the name Homo sapiens (human). RNAcentral's name for it is "HSALNT0011480". Lineage: Eukaryota; Metazoa; Chordata; Mammalia; Primates; Hominidae. The record is from RNAcentral.